AUACGUAGGUGGCAAGCGUUGUCCGGAUUUACUGGGCGUAAAGGGCGUGUAGGCGGAGAUGCAAGUCAGGAGUGAAAUCUAGGGGCUCAACCCCUAAACUGCUUUUGAAACUGUAUCCCUUGAGUAUCGGAGAGGCAGGCGGAAUUCCUAGUGUAGCGGUGAAAUGCGUAGAUAUUAGGAGGAACACCAGUGGCGAAGGCGGCCUGCGGGACGGAAACUGACGCGGAGGCGGGAAAGCGUGGUGAGCAAACAGGAUGAGAUACCCUGGUAGUCCACGCUGUAAACGAUGAAUACUAGGUGUGGGGGGACUGACCCCCUCCGUGCCGCAGUUAACACAAUAAGUAUUCCACCUGGGGAGUACGAUCGCAAGAUUGAAACUCAAAGGAAUUGACGGGG
This 396-nucleotide ribosomal RNA is filed under the name uncultured bacterium. RNAcentral describes it as "partial 16S ribosomal RNA". It matches the Rfam family "Bacterial small subunit ribosomal RNA", at positions 523 to 918 of the family's 1533-position model. The record is from RNAcentral.